RNAcentral lists this ribosomal RNA (638 nucleotides) under uncultured bacterium. RNAcentral describes it as "bacterial SSU rRNA". The stretch from base 1 to 544 matches the Rfam family "Bacterial small subunit ribosomal RNA", at positions 338 to 873 of the family's 1533-position model. The record is from RNAcentral.
CCUACGGGAGGCAGCAGUGGGGAAUUUUGGACAAUGGGCGCAAGCCUGAUCCAGCAAUGCCGCGUGAGUGAAGAAGGCCUUCGGGUUGUAAAGCUCUUUUGUCAGGGAAGAAACGGUGGGGGCUAAUAUCCUCCACUAAUGACGGUACCUGAAGAAUAAGCACCGGCUAACUACGUGCCAGCAGCCGCGGUAAUACGUAGGGUGCAAGCGUUAAUCGGAAUUACUGGGCAUAAAGCGUGCGCAGGCGGUUUUGUAAGUUUGUCGUGAAAUCCCCGGGCUCAACCUGGGAAUGGCGAUGAAGACUGCAAGGCUAGAAUCUGGCAGAGGGGGGUAGAAGUUCCACGUGUAGCAGUGAAAUGCGUAGAGAUGUGGAGGAACACCGAUGGCGAAGGCAGCCCCCUGGGUCAAGAUUGACGCUCAUGCACGAAAGCGUAGGGGAGCAAACAGGAUUAGAUACCCUGGUAGUCCACGCCCUAAACGAUGUCUACUAGUUGUCGGGUUUUAAUUAACUUGGUAACGCAGCUAACGCGUGAAGUAGACCGCCGNGGAGGUACGGUCGUCGAGAAGUUAAACGUUAACUAAAGUUAGUUAAGUUAGACGGCGUUGAGACGNGCGACGGACGACGACGAGGGAGGAGG